UACGUAGGUGACAAGCGUUGUCCGGAUUUACUGGGCGUAAAGAGCGCGCAGGCGGUCGUUCAAGUCGAGUGUGAAAGCCCCCGGCUCAACUGGGGAGGGUCAUUCGAUACUGAUCGACUCGAAGGCAGGAGAGGGUAGUGGAAUUCCCGGUGUAGUGGUGAAAUGCGUAGAUAUCGGGAGGAACACCAGUGGCGAAGGCGGUUCUCUGGGCCUGACCUGACGCUGAGGAGCGAAAGCGUGGGGAGCGAACAGG
RNAcentral lists this ribosomal RNA (253 nucleotides) under uncultured bacterium. RNAcentral's name for it is "partial 16S ribosomal RNA". It matches the Rfam family "Bacterial small subunit ribosomal RNA", at positions 524 to 776 of the family's 1533-position model. The record is from RNAcentral.